GCGCCGGUGGUGUAAGGCGAUCAUUGCUGCCCGGAAACCAGAAGAUGCGGGUUCGAGUCCCGCCUGGUGCA
Molecule: non-coding RNA, 71 nt
Organism: Heligmosomoides polygyrus
Lineage: Eukaryota; Metazoa; Nematoda; Chromadorea; Rhabditida; Heligmosomidae
Source: Rfam